This 406-nucleotide ribosomal RNA is filed under the name uncultured bacterium. RNAcentral describes it as "partial 16S ribosomal RNA". It matches the Rfam family "Bacterial small subunit ribosomal RNA", at positions 30 to 526 of the family's 1533-position model. The record is from RNAcentral.
AUUGAACGCUGGCGGCAGGCCUAACACAUGCAAGUCGAACGAGUGGCGGACGGGUGAGUAAUGUCUGGGAAACUGCCUGAUGGAGGGGGAUAACUACUGGAAACGGUAGCUAAUACCGCAUACCAUCGGAUGUGCCCAGAUGGGAUUAGCUAGUAGGUGGGGUAAAGGCUCACCUAGGCGACGAUCCCUAGCUGGUCUGAGAGGAUGACCAGCCACACGGGAACUUGGACAGGGUCCAGACCCCUACGGGAGGCAGCAUUGGGGAAUAUGGCGCAGUGGGCGCAAGCCUGAUGCAGCGAUGCAGCGUGUAUGAAGAAGUCCUUUGGGUUGUAAGGUACUUUCAGCGGGGAGGCGUUGCCCGCAGAAGAAGCGCCGGCUAACUCCGUGCCAGCCGCCGCGGUAAUUC